AGAAACUUGAGUAGUCAAGUAUUGGACCCAAAUGUCAUAUAAUUUUAAUUGGGGAUUUUUAUAAAAUUAAGAAAGUUUGGCUAAAGGGCUUAUUUGAAAAGAAUUUUAGUAUUUUGGGUCCAAGUAUAAUUUUUAAAAAUAAAUAAAUAAAUAAAUAAAUAAAAUAAAAAUAAAAUAAAAGGCUUCAGCCUUUCAUUUUACCCGAGCCCCUCUCUCUCUCUCCUCAGAAACUCUCUCCCUCUCUCUCUCUCUCUCUCUCUCUCUCUCUCUCUCCUCUGCGUAUUACUGUUGCCGACGACGCAGGAGUACUUUCCGGCCACCAUUUUUAGCCACGCGCCGGACCGUUGGAUUCAGAGGCCUCCGAACUAUCGACCCACGCGGGAAUCUAGAGCUCACUCGCCGAUUAAACGCCUCAACCACUCGAUUUAAGUUCGGCCACCCCGCGACUUCAAAGUUGCGAUUCGGCCACCUCGGGCAUCCGUUUGCCGAUCCGUCACCACCAUCGUGUUCCUCGUGUUGUGGGCUUCAAAACCCAAUAACUUGUUCCUACAUCUACCAUAGUUGGGUGGUGGGCCCACCACGAGCCACCGCGAUCCACCGUAGACCGACGGUCGAAACUUAGUGUUCGAGGUUCCGAAGUACGUUUUGAGUCUCAGAAAAUCAUCGUUUGACUUAUUGUGGAACCCGAUCAUUUUGGAUUUGUAUGGAUUUGAUUGAUUGACUCUUGGUGAGCCGUUUUAAAAUAAGCUAAGGACCUAAGGUAAGUAAAUCUCACCUUUUGUGCUUAAGUGUAAGAUGCAUGACUACAUUGAUUGUGUACAUCUGAUGAGUUAAGUAUGGUAUGAUGAUGAUGCAUAUGAUAAGUAUGUGAAGAAUGGUUAUAUGAACACCAUAAGGGUGUUGUGUGAUAUGUAAUUGAUGAAUUCUGUGAUAUGUGAAAGAUGUCUUACUUGGUUAAGAAUGAUAUGAAUUAUGUGCAAGUAUGUGUUCUUAUGUUGAUGGAUAUGUGGAUUACUCUAUGUUCAUGAUUUGUUAUAUGUUAUGAUAUAUGAAGCGUUUAAGUUUUUAGGCUGGAAACCUUAGACCUGAGCCAUAGCUCUACGUUAAGGUAUAACAACGCCACCAACCCAAAGCUUCAUGUAUUAUGACUAAAGAUGUUUUGAGUUAUAUGAGAUGUGAUACAAUGCCUUGAUUGAAUACCAUCAACAUCAGUCAUGAACACGAACAUUGGCAUUUCAGCAUCAGCAUGUAUGCAUGGCAUGUACAUUUAUGUGAUACAUUAUUAUGUGAUAUAAGACCAUGCAUAUGGAUAUGAGAAAAGUUAUGAAAUGUCUUGAAAAGUCUUAUGUAAAGUUAAACAUUUUAAUGACACAAGGCUUAAGCAAAGUGAUAAUAAGAUGUUUAAAAAGGGUGCCACUGUUUUGAUGAAGCAAUCAAGUAAGUUCAGUAAAGAAGACGGAAGUCUAUAAGACUUAUAGUGGCUGCCCACUAGUGUGGGCUAGGUCAGAGUUGACCAUUCAGAUAUGUUUGCCAUGUUUCCGUCUUUCUCCUCCAUAUGUGUAAUAAGUAUGGCAGCUAUGGCAACGAUGAAAUGAGUGUUAUGAUGAGCCUAGCUGAGAUGAUGGCUAGCCGGAGGAGAACCCAUGGGAUUCUAUAUGAUAUGUGUAACAAGCCCUGCAGGCAUUGGCUGAAUCAAACAGUGUGCACAAGUGAUAUUGGGCCCAUAAAAAUGUGAAACUAACAGAAAGAGCAUAAAAGUAAAGUUUGAAAGUGCAUGAGCAAUAAAUGGAAUGCAUAAGUAUAUAAGUCAGCAUAUUAAUAUAUGUGCACUACAAACUCACGACAUUCAUGUGUAUGUGUAUGCAUGAGAUUUGCUUACUGAGCGUUAGCUCAUUAUGUUAUUUUCCAACAUUUUUCCAGGUGUGGCUUUAGCUGUUGAGCAACUUGUGGAGCACGGACUCAGUAGCAAUGCAAUAAUGGUUUAGAGUUUUCAUAUGGCUGCCUUAAAUUUAAAGUAUUCAUACGUGUAAUAAUUUCUUCUAAUAAGUUUAUAUAAAAGUUUUAAAUUUUUCUGUAUUUCUUCGUAUCAUUUUAUUUAAUUCUUUUGGUCAAGUGCCUUACAUACUCGUAAACCCUAGAAUUACGAGUAUGUGGCAGACGUACCCUACCUUAGGGACGUUACAAAUGGUAUCAGAGCUUUGAGUUUGUAGAUGUCGUAUACUCGUUAUGUUAUUAGAUUUUGGGAUCUGAAAUGCUACUGAGUUCCGCCACAAGACAAGCCACACGUUAAUGGUUAGUAUAAUUUAUCCAUAUUUUAGUUAAUGUAUGUUAAUGAUGUUGUAUAAUUGUAUUAGAAACUCAUUGUGUGUUUGAGUUUCCAUGAUAUAAGUAUGAGUUUGGAUUAAAUGAAUAUUCUCAUGCACGGUAGAGAAAUUGAAGUUUGUUAUUUAUCUGAAUGCAUGCCUUUAUUAUUGAUGUGAUAAAUAAUUGAUGAUUUAUCGAUGUCGAUGUUUGGAUUGUUAAUUGAUAUUCUCAAGCUUUGAAAGUGAUCUAUCAGUUCAGUUAGUGUGUUAAGGGUUAAUAUGUCAGGUUAGUGUUUUGGAGAGCAGAGUUUUAGGUUGUUGCUGAGAGCACACACAAUAAGAGACUUUAGUGAAACAGUAGUAAUAUAUAGAAAAAAAAAAAAAAAUACAUAAUACAUUAAGGAUUGGGGUUUUGGACACGUUCUACCUCGUCAAUCAACUUUUGUUGUUCAACUCUAAGGGUCUCCCCAGUAGUUUGCAGUGUCUGAAAUUUUUCCUUCAUAUCGACUGAGUAGUUAGCAAGAAGUGUAGUUAAAGUCCCAUUCUCCUUAGCCAACUUCUCCUUCUCUCGAGUCAAUGCCUUGUUGGCAUUUCUAAUGGUUAUCAUCUCUUGUUUUUGUGUUUCUAUAUACCUUUUCAAGUGGUCAACCUCUUGUUCUCUUGCAAGAACCCGUUGGCCUAGGUUUGAGACCGAUGCUGCCGCCUGAGUGGUAAGAACUAAGGAAUCUUUUACAGCUUGUAGGUCUGACCUAUGGGAUAAAAUUAUUUGGUCUUUAGGGGUGAGUAUGCUUUGACCAAUACUAAUGGCCACCUUUUUAUCGAGCAUAGCUGAAUCCUCCACCGUGACAAGGCCAGUAUCAGAAUAAAAUUUGGGAAGCCAAACUCUGGGAAAUUGAGUAUUUCGUUCUGGGAUGUGUACCGUAGGAUACACCAUUAGCUGUGGUAGGGGUGCAGAAAUUUGUGGUGAAGAUUCGAUAGUGGGAAGAUUUGGCUCAGGUAAAGCUAAAGUUAGGUCUAAGUUCAGCUGAGAUGAUGAGGAUGCCAUGGAUUGCUUAGCUUGAGUAAUGGACGGAAGUAAUAAUGAUUUGGUUUUCAAAAGCUUGAGAUUGAUUGUGUUUUAGUGUGUAUGUGAUGAAUUUUAUUUAUAGAAAAAUGUGUUGAACUGUUGGGUCAUUGGAUCCUUGAAUUUGUUUGUUUUCAAGAUAGAUAUCACAGAUUUUAUCUUGUUCAAUGUGUUACGCUAUCCUCUCUGAUGAUGAAAGUCAAACUUAUUAGAUGUUGUCGACAUGGAAAUCACUUCUAUUGAUUUUGCGAUCCUGAUUUGAACAUGGAAACAAUUUGUAAAUUGUUGAAUGAAUCGAGGUGAUAAAUGUUAUUUACUGAAUUACUCUGUAGUGUGAAUUACUUUCGGCGAUUAAAUUAUAGUAUAUUAGCUGUUUUAUCCCGAAAGUAAGAUAAUGUAUUACUUGUGUGAAGUGAUGACUGAGUAUUAUUGGUAUAGGUGUUGAAAUGAGACAUGUCCAACUUAUUAGACAUGUGAGAAUUAUUCGUUUUCGUAGAUGAAGUGGUGGAUUGGUCAGUCAAGACUUAUCCCAUGUUUUAUUCAAUGAAGGGAUACUAAGCUAAGUGUGUGAAUUUCCGAGUGGCCACGGUUAUUUGCAUUCUAGCAUAGUAUCAAUAUGCCCUUUAUUAUUUUAUACAUUUGGAAACAAUUUUGAUUUUUAAAUGUUUUCUUAGAGAAAGAAUGAGAGUCAGGCUUUUCUGAACUGGUACCUAAUGAAUGGCCUAUCUCACUAUUUCUCAUUCAGGGCAAGAAGUCGGUUUUGACAACGAAAGGGUUUCACAGAGACUUGGUUUUAAAGAAUAAUCUUCAUCGGCUAUAUAAUUGUUUUCUAGUUAUCCAAUUUUUUUUAUGCCGAAAAACUUUCUAUUGAACAAACUUGUUGCUCAAUUUAGCAUCUAUUAUCAAGGUAUAACCAGUCAUUUGCAUCUGCUUAAAAAAAAAAAAAAAAAAUUGACUGUAAAACAUGAAGAUCAAGGAUGUUUUCAUGAUGAUGGUCAUUUUCUCUUCUUACGUUAUGUGGUUUGUGUUCAAAAGUAUGGAUGAUGAGGAUUCGUUUGUAUUUUCGUAUACAUUCAUUGUAAUUUAUACUAUUGUUAUAGCUUAUUUCCUUUCUAUCUAUAUUGUAGUCCUCAUGUGAGGUGUUUACACAUCCUCGCCUUUUUAUAUAUGAUAAGGAUUACAAGAAGUCAGGAAUAAGUUUUGUUUUCGGGGUGAAAGUAAGUGUUGUGUAUAAAAUCUUAUGCUGUGAAAUGUUGUUCUGUUUAUUUGUAAUGGUAGUUCUUGUCUCCGAUUAUCAAAUUUUAGUUUGAAAUUUCGAGGACGAAAUUAUUUUAACGGGGGAAGGAUUGUAAUAUCCAACAUUUUCAUAAUACAUUUAUUUAUUAUAAAUCAAAGUUUUAAUACAUAAAAUGUACAACUUUACAAAUUUAAGAAAUAGUAAUGGAAAAAUAGUGUUUAAAAUAUGAUUUUAUGUUUUUAAUGAGAUUAAAGAAAGAGAAACUUGAGUAGUCAAGUAUUGGACCCAAAUGUCAUAUAAUUUUAAUUGGGGAUUUUUAUAAAAUUAAGAAAGUUUGGCUAAAGGGCUUAUUUGAAAAGAAUUUUAGUAUUUUGGGUCCAAGUAUAAUUUUUAAAAAUAAAUAAAUAAAUAAAUAAAUAAAAUAAAAAUAAAAUAAAAGGCUUCAGCCUUUCAUUUUACCCGAGCCCCUCUCUCUCUCUCCUCAGAAACUCUCUCCCUCUCUCUCUCUCUCUCUCUCUCUCUCUCUCUCUCUCUCCUCUGCGUAUUACUGUUGCCGACGACGCAGGAGUACUUUCCGGCCACCAUUUUUAGCCACGCGCCGGACCGUUGGAUUCAGAGGCCUCCGAACUAUCGACCCACGCGGGAAUCUAGAGCUCACUCGCCGAUUAAACGCCUCAACCACUCGAUUUAAGUUCGGCCACCCCGCGACUUCAAAGUUGCGAUUCGGCCACCUCGGGCAUCCGUUUGCCGAUCCGUCACCACCAUCGUGUUCCUCGUGUUGUGGGCUUCAAAACCCAAUAACUUGUUCCUACAUCUACCAUAGUUGGGUGGUGGGCCCACCACGAGCCACCGCGAUCCACCGUAGACCGACGGUCGAAACUUAGUGUUCGAGGUUCCGAAGUACGUUUUGAGUCUCAGAAAAUCAUCGUUUGACUUAUUGUGGAACCCGAUCAUUUUGGAUUUGUAUGGAUUUGAUUGAUUGACUCUUGGUGAGCCGUUUUAAAAUAAGCUAAGGACCUAAGGUAAGUAAAUCUCACCUUUUGUGCUUAAGUGUAAGAUGCAUGACUACAUUGAUUGUGUACAUCUGAUGAGUUAAGUAUGGUAUGAUGAUGAUGCAUAUGAUAAGUAUGUGAAGAAUGGUUAUAUGAACACCAUAAGGGUGUUGUGUGAUAUGUAAUUGAUGAAUUCUGUGAUAUGUGAAAGAUGUCUUACUUGGUUAAGAAUGAUAUGAAUUAUGUGCAAGUAUGUGUUCUUAUGUUGAUGGAUAUGUGGAUUACUCUAUGUUCAUGAUUUGUUAUAUGUUAUGAUAUAUGAAGCGUUUAAGUUUUUAGGCUGGAAACCUUAGACCUGAGCCAUAGCUCUACGUUAAGGUAUAACAACGCCACCAACCCAAAGCUUCAUGUAUUAUGACUAAAGAUGUUUUGAGUUAUAUGAGAUGUGAUACAAUGCCUUGAUUGAAUACCAUCAACAUCAGUCAUGAACACGAACAUUGGCAUUUCAGCAUCAGCAUGUAUGCAUGGCAUGUACAUUUAUGUGAUACAUUAUUAUGUGAUAUAAGACCAUGCAUAUGGAUAUGAGAAAAGUUAUGAAAUGUCUUGAAAAGUCUUAUGUAAAGUUAAACAUUUUAAUGACACAAGGCUUAAGCAAAGUGAUAAUAAGAUGUUUAAAAAGGGUGCCACUGUUUUGAUGAAGCAAUCAAGUAAGUUCAGUAAAGAAGACGGAAGUCUAUAAGACUUAUAGUGGCUGCCCACUAGUGUGGGCUAGGUCAGAGUUGACCAUUCAGAUAUGUUUGCCAUGUUUCCGUCUUUCUCCUCCAUAUGUGUAAUAAGUAUGGCAGCUAUGGCAACGAUGAAAUGAGUGUUAUGAUGAGCCUAGCUGAGAUGAUGGCUAGCCGGAGGAGAAUCCAUGGGAUUCUAUAUGAUAUGUGUAACAAGCCCUGCAGGCAUUGGCUGAAUCAAACAGUGUGCACAAGUGAUAUUGGGCCCAUAAAAAUGUGAAACUAAAAGAAAGAGCAUAAAAGUAAAGUUUGAAAGUGCAUGAGCAAUAAAUGGAAUGCAUAAGUAUAUAAGUCAGCAUAUUAAUAUAUGUGCACUACAAACUCACGACAUUCAUGUGUAUGUGUAUGCAUGAGAUUUGCUUACUGAGCGUUAGCUCAUUAUGUUAUUUUCCAACAUUUUUCCAGGUGUGGCUUUAGCUGUUGAGCAACUUGUGGAGCACGGACUCAGUAGCAAUGCAAUAAUGGUUUAGAGUUUUCAUAUGGCUGCCUUAAAUUUAAAGUAUUCAUACGUGUAAUAAUUUCUUCUAAUAAGUUUAUAUAAAAGUUUUAAAUUUUUCUGUAUUUCUUCGUAUCAUUUUAUUUAAUUCUUUUGGUCAAGUGCCUUACAUACUCGUAAACCCUAGAAUUACGAGUAUGUGGCAGACG
This is a long non-coding RNA of Humulus lupulus (European hop), 7025 nucleotides long. RefSeq lists it as uncharacterized. Lineage: Eukaryota; Viridiplantae; Streptophyta; Magnoliopsida; Rosales; Cannabaceae. The transcript is spliced from 3 exons. The record is from RefSeq and is a predicted model, not a curated record.